Long non-coding RNA from Notolabrus celidotus (New Zealand spotty), 535 nucleotides. RefSeq lists it as uncharacterized. NCBI's taxonomy places the organism in Eukaryota, Metazoa, Chordata, Actinopteri, Labriformes, Labridae. The record is from RefSeq and is a predicted model, not a curated record. The transcript has 3 exons.
AACUGGUAAACUCCACAGAGAACAUGCUGUAAGGAGGGUUGAACUUUAUGGUAAACCUGAUUUUUAAGGCUACAGCCAAGGGAAUCUGAGAGGGAGCUUUGCCUCUUCACUUCCAAGCUUAGAAGGCAUGGACACACAAGGGUUGGGGAUUACUGACCAAAGGCUCCUUGGACUUCAAACUGGACUUGUUGCACUGAAGAUGACUUGCUCUGAUUCCUGGAACCUGGUGAUAGUUGAAAUAGAGUUAGCAUGUUGCUAUAUUCAAUAAGUAUGCUUUCUUUUCUGUUUGUAUUUUUUACAGUCCUCCUUGUAAAUCAGAAUGUGUUACUUUAGUCAUAUUACAAGAUUAUACAUGGAACAUUUGAACCCUUGUCCAUGCAGAUGUCAUCUAUAACAGCAAAAAAAAGAAGAAAAUUCUGGUAAUAAAAAGAUGGUCUCUGUAAUAACCAAGAACGUAAUAGAACAUAAAGCUGGUCACUGCAGAAGUCAUAUCUCACCUCUCUUUUCCCCUGUCAGUGUUCAGAGCCGCUCUCUC